GGGCCUAUAGCUCAGCUGGGAGAGCGCCUGCAUGGCAUGCAGGAGGUCAUCGGUUCGAUCCCGAUUAGGUCCACCA
RNAcentral lists this transfer RNA (76 nucleotides) under Elusimicrobiota bacterium. Its description in RNAcentral is "Elusimicrobia bacterium (groundwater metagenome) tRNA-Ala". It matches the Rfam family "tRNA". Rfam says of the family: Transfer RNA (tRNA) molecules are approximately 80 nucleotides in length. Their secondary structure includes four short double-helical elements and three loops (D, anti-codon, and T loops). The record is from RNAcentral. Lineage: Bacteria; Pseudomonadati; Elusimicrobiota.